UUGGUUUAACUAAAUAAGUGUAUUUGUUCAUAAUUAAUUCCUUAAAUGGAGGAACUACCCUUGUGAGUUUACCCUAGGUACUCAAACUCUGUCCUCCUCUGAAUCUGAAGGCUGGUGAAGGAUGGACUACAACCUGAGAACUGCAUUUUAUGUAGCUGUGAGCACAGGACCAAAACUAACUAUACACUUGUUCCAGACUGGUUUAGCAACGCUGGUGAGAGUAGACAUUACAUCGAAAAUGCUAAACUUAACUAAACCAUGGGAAUACUGGUGAUUUGUUUCUUCAUGGUAUCUUGUAGUUGCCCUUCAGUCAUUUCCAAGAAAAGAGCCAUGUCUGACUCGUGGCCAUUACUAUCUGGUCCUGCCACAUGUAUUUAAAAACAAGAUUAUGUAGUAUAUCUGUAGGUUCAGACAGGUGUCAAGGAAGAUAGUCAACAGAAUCUAUACAUCAGUCCUUAUCUUUCAGCUCCAACUGAAAUUGGAUUCUGGACUACUUCUCCACUUUAACUCUUUGGAUACUUGAGAAAAGGCUUAAUUAGAGCGAAGACUGGGUGGAAGAAUAAAGGCUCAUUAAUCAAGUGGAUACCUCGAACUUUCAGUGGAAAGGAAUCCUGUCAGCAUACAUGGAAAACAGAAGAAAAAGAAAACAUUAUUGAAACACCUCUAUAAUUAAGCACAGGCCUGUAAAAACUGUCUAGUCCGUAGGUUAAAGUAUUUCUUCUGACCUUGCCAAUUCCUGCAUUUUCUAGCAGUGUAAAUUAAGAACAACAUUUAGAAAAAUCAUAUCUUGUUCCUCUCAUUAGAGGGAAAAGGUCUAAUAAUAUUUUCACCUCAGUAGGAAGUGAGAUUGAAUAUUAAAAACAGAAAAACGAAAAAGAAAACUAUCACCAAAUUGCACAUAAAAAUUGUACACAAACUUUGUGCUCAGCCUUUCUUCUAAUGUGCAAUUUUUCACAAGAUUCUACUACUAAUUUACAAAAUGCUAUCUAAAUAUGUGCUUUUAUUGGCAAUUUACAGCCAUAAAUAUACAUAAACUAUUGAAAAUA
Onychostruthus taczanowskii (white-rumped snowfinch) is the source of this 1046-nucleotide long non-coding RNA. RefSeq lists it as uncharacterized. The record is from RefSeq and is a predicted model, not a curated record. Lineage: Eukaryota; Metazoa; Chordata; Aves; Passeriformes; Passeridae. The transcript is spliced from 2 exons.